This is a long non-coding RNA of Malania oleifera, 1634 nucleotides long. RefSeq lists it as uncharacterized. The transcript is spliced from 4 exons. Lineage: Eukaryota; Viridiplantae; Streptophyta; Magnoliopsida; Santalales; Ximeniaceae. The record is from RefSeq and is a predicted model, not a curated record.
CCCACACACUCCAUCUACAGGCCGUAGAACUGGAUUUUCCUCAGCUGGCGCGGGCAUGCAUGUCGAGAUUUUCUUCCUCCCGUUAAACCCCAGCUUCUUCCAAAUAUCGUACCACUAUACCACCUUCUUGUAGAAUUGAUCUUUUUAUUCCUUCUUUUAAAAAUCUACACUUCCACCCUUCUAUUUGAAUUACGAAGCCAAGCAAGUUGAAAAAUUCAAACAUUUGGCAAUCUUGAGGUGCUAUUCUGAGUCAAAAGCUGCUUACCUAACUUUCAAAUGCCUUUUGAUGACUUUGGGAGAGAUUUGCUUGGCACAUUAAAAAUGGACCCUUCUGAAUACAAUUCAGAAACUCAAAGUGUAGCCUAUGAUAUCCAUUUUUUUUUUUGUUGUUAUUUUUCUAUCAGCAAUCAACUUCACAAGUUGAUUUCAGAAGUUUCCAUUUUUCUUUCUGCUGUAUGUUUUACCUUAAACAAACACAGCUCUAUAUGUGCAAGCAACAGCAAAGUUGUAUGCUGUCAUUUUUCUCUCGAUGGAAGUUAUUGAGUAUUGCAAGGCAUGACAAGAAGGUUUCUGGUGUGUUAUUGGGGGUUCUAAUGGCCUCUACCAACAAAGCUUCUGUGAUUCUAUUAACAUGCAUAUCACAGCCAUCAAACUGGCUGGAUCCUUGAAUUACUUCUUGUGAUCUCAAGAGUACGAGCAUAUAUUAAUGCAAAAGCCAAGCUACUUCUCACAGGCACAUCUGGGCAUACCUCAAAUGAGAAGUUCCUUGAUUUCCAUCAUAAGAGACAUGAUUUUUUCUGUUCCUGCAACAUAACAGUGAGAUUCAUCAGUAUUCCCAUGUUCUGAAGGCCAAUUCCUCAAAACUCUUUCUUUGUUCAGUUUUUGAAGCCUUAUUCGAAUGGAUUUCUCAUCUUUUCAAUCAUGGCUCUCUAAUUGAGUAGGGAGGUACUGGACAAGUGAGAUUUCAGCAAAGACUUGGGACAUCUACUGGCUGCAGAGCAGAAAAUGUUGUCUGCAUCUGCGAUGGGGAGACUCUCAAGCUAGAUAUAUUUCUUAUAGGAUACGAAUUUUAAUAGCCAUUUCAAGAAUAAGUUUACAAUAUUGAAGCUGCUUUCCCCUUGAGAUGUAUUAUCCAUUAUCCUUUGAAUAGUUUCUCAUUUUGCCUGGAGAAGUCACUAACCAGGGACUUCAAUCAUUUCAUUCCCUGGGGCACUCGGUGGCGAUGCAGUUCACGGGAAAGCAAAUGGAUAUCACGGGGCCUCCAUCUGUCAAGACUGUCUAGGUGUGGCAUACAUUCAUGAGCUCAGCUCCAGGCAAAACAAGUCCCACCGUUCAUCCAUGCUAUUCCAUUCUUUUCAUUAUUAACGUGGGUGGGGGCGAGGCGGCAGUGAUGGAUAUUAAUCAAUAUUUGGAUCAUGUACAUAGUAGUUUAGACAAGAAUGGAAUGAAGUUGAAUGGAAUUAGUCUUUUCCAUUUUACAAAUUUACCGCACAAUUUUUCAUUUCAUUUCACUAUCAUUUCAUUCCAUUCUAGUGUACCAAACAUAGGUUAAAGUUGACGGUGGUUCUAAAUGCUAAUGAGUGAGGACAGUUGUUAAUUACAUGGACUGAAUUAAGCUGUUGUCGAGUUUUAAA